UUGUCUCCGGGAGUUCCUCCGAUCACUUCAUUGGGGCUAUAUGAUCAUUUAGAGAAAAUUUGUCACCCCACUGAAGUGUUUGGGGGAACUCUGGGUGCCAC
Molecule: non-coding RNA, 101 nt
Organism: Citrus sinensis (sweet orange)
Lineage: Eukaryota; Viridiplantae; Streptophyta; Magnoliopsida; Sapindales; Rutaceae
Source: Rfam